AUUGAACGCUGGCGGCAUGCUUUACACAUGCAAGUCGAACGGUAACAGGCCUUCGGGUGCUGACGAGUGGCGAACGGGUGAGUAAUGCAUCGGAACGUGCCCAAUCGUGGGGGAUAACGUAGCGAAAGUUACGCUAAUACCGCAUAAGCCCUGAGGGGGAAAGUGGGGGACCGCAAGGCCUCACGCGAAUGGAGCGGCCGAUGUCAGAUUAGCUAGUUGGUGGGGUAAAGGCCCACCAAGGCGACGAUCUGUAGCGGGUCUGAGAGGAUGAUCCGCCACACUGGAACUGAGACACGGUCCAGACUCCUACGGGAGGCAGCAGUGGGGAAUUUUGGACAAUGGGCGCAAGCCUGAUCCAGCCAUGCCGCGUGAGUGAAGAAGGCCU
Molecule: ribosomal RNA, 385 nt
Filed under: uncultured bacterium
Lineage: Bacteria
Description: bacterial SSU rRNA
Rfam family: Bacterial small subunit ribosomal RNA
Source: RNAcentral